GACGAACGCUGGCGGCGUGCUUAACACAUGCAAGUCGAACGGAAAGGCCCUGCUUUUGUGGGGUGCUCGAGUGGCGAACGGGUGAGUAACACGUGAGUAACCUGCCCUUGACUUUGGGAUAACUUCAGGAAACUGGGGCUAAUACCGGAUAGGAGCUCCUGCUGCAUGGUGGGGGUUGGAAAGUUUCGGCGGUUGGGGAUGGACUCGCGGCUUAUCAGCUUGUUGGUGGGGUAGUGGCUUACCAAGGCUUUGACGGGUAGCCGGCCUGAGAGGGUGACCGGCCACAUUGGGACUGAGAUACGGCCCAGACUCCUACGGGAGGACGCAGUGGGGAAUAUUGCACCAUGGGCGGAAGCCUGAUGCAGCAACGCCGCGUGCGGGAUGACGGCCUUCGGGUUGUAAACCGCUUUCGCCUGUGACGAAGCGUGAGUGACGGUAAUGGGUAAAGAAGCACCGGCUAACUACGUG
This 468-nucleotide ribosomal RNA is filed under the name uncultured bacterium. RNAcentral describes it as "partial 16S ribosomal RNA". It matches the Rfam family "Bacterial small subunit ribosomal RNA", at positions 28 to 507 of the family's 1533-position model. The record is from RNAcentral.